Molecule: ribosomal RNA, 435 nt
Filed under: uncultured bacterium
Lineage: Bacteria
Description: partial 16S ribosomal RNA
Rfam family: Bacterial small subunit ribosomal RNA
Source: RNAcentral
AGCGAACGCUGGCGGCAGGCUUAACACACGCAAGUCGAGCGGGCAUCUUCGGAUGUCAGCGGCAGACGGGUGAGUAACACGUGGGAACGUACCCUUCGGUUCGGAACAACUCUGGGAAACUGGAGCUAAUACCGGAUACGCCCUUAUGGGGAAAGGUUUACUGCCGAAGGAUCGGCCCGCGUCUGAUUAGCUAGUUGGUGGGGUAACGGCCUACCAAGGCGACGAUCAGUAGCUGGUCUGAGAGGAUGAUCAGCCACACUGGGACUGAGACACGGCCCAGACUCCUACGGGAGGCAGCAGUGGGGAAUAUUGGACAAUGGGCGCAAGCCUGAUCCAGCCAUGCCGCGUGAGUGGUGAAGGCCUUAGGGUUGUAAAGCUCUUUUGUCCGGGACGAUAAUGACGGUACCGGAAGAAUAAGCCCCGGCUAACUUCGUG